CAACAGGGAUUACCUCAGUAACGGCGAGUGAAGCGGUAACAGCUCAAAUUUGAAAUCUGGCCCUUUCAGGGUCCGAGAUUGUAAUUUGUAGAAGAUGCUUCGGGUGUAGCUCCGGUCUAAGUUCCUUGGAACAGGACGUCAUAGAGGGUGAGAAUCCCGUAUGUGACUGGUUGCUUUCGCCCAUGUGAAGCUCUUUCGACGAGUCGAGUUGUUUGGGAAUGCAGCUCUAAAUGGGUGGUAAAUUUCAUCUAAAGCUAAAUAUUGGCCAGAGACCGAUAGCGCACAAGUAGAGUGAUCGAAAGAUGAAAAGCACUUUGGAAAGAGAGUUAAACAGUACGUGAAAUUGUUGAAAGGGAAGCGCUUGCAACCAGACUUGCACGCAGUUGAUCAUCCGGUGUUCUCACUGGUGCACUCUGCUGCGUUCAGGCCAGCAUCGGUUUUGGUGGUUGGAUAAAGGCCUUGGGAAUGUAGCUUCUUUCGGGGAGUGUUAUAGCCCUCGGUGCAAUGCAGCCUACCGGGACCGAGGACCGCGCUUCGGCUAGGAUGCUGGCGUAAUGGUUGUAAGCGACCCGUCUUGAAACACGGACCAAGGAGUCUAACAUCUAUGCGAGUGUUUGGGUGUCAAACCCAUACGUGUAAUGAAAGUGAACGGAGGUGAGAACCCUUAAGGGUGCAUCAUC
Molecule: ribosomal RNA, 680 nt
Filed under: uncultured fungus
Lineage: Eukaryota; Fungi
Description: LSU rRNA
Rfam family: Eukaryotic large subunit ribosomal RNA
Source: RNAcentral